This 445-nucleotide ribosomal RNA is filed under the name uncultured prokaryote. RNAcentral describes it as "bacterial SSU rRNA". It matches the Rfam family "Bacterial small subunit ribosomal RNA", at positions 338 to 774 of the family's 1533-position model. The record is from RNAcentral.
UCUACGGGUGGCAGCAGUGGGGAAUUUUGCGCAAUGGGGGAAACCCUGACGCAGCAACGCCGCGUGAGUGAUGAAGGCCUUCGGGUCGUAAAGCUCUGUCAGAGGGGAAGAAAUGCAGGGGUGCUAAUAUCAUCUUUGCUUGCCGGUACCCUCAACGGAAGCACCGGCUAACUCCGUGCCAGCAGCCGCGGUAAUACGGAGGGCGCGAGCGUUGUUCGGAAUUAUUGGGCGUAAAGCGCGUGUAGGCGGUUUGGUAAGUCUGAGGUGAAAGCCCCGGGCUCAACCUGGGAAGUGCAUUGGAAACUGUCAGACUUGAAUACGGGAGAGGGUAGUGGAAUUCCUAGUGUAGGAGUGAAAUCCGUAGAUAUUAGGAGGAACACCGGUGGCGAAGGCGGCUACCUGGACCGAUAUUGACGCUGAGACGCGAAAGCGUGGGGAGCAAACA